Long non-coding RNA from Mauremys mutica (yellowpond turtle), 212 nucleotides. RefSeq lists it as uncharacterized. NCBI's taxonomy places the organism in Eukaryota, Metazoa, Chordata, Testudines, Geoemydidae. The transcript is spliced from 3 exons. The record is from RefSeq and is a predicted model, not a curated record.
CCCUGACUCCUGUACCAUUGAGCACAGAAUAGGAACAACAAGUCCUCUCAGACCUACAUUGUGUUUAUUCCUGUAGCAUUUGGAACCCAUUAUUGCAACCAAAUAUGACAUUGUUCAUCACACUGAACACUCAUUCCACUGGAUUGUUUGCUCCAGGUAAACACAGAGCAAAUUCAACUUAGUAUGGCAAUAUGUCCUGAACAAACAUUUUA